UUUUAAAUUUUGUGGUAUUUUGACUAUACAAAGGUUUGAAUAAGAUUUUAAUUGAAUGCUAAGAGAACGGAAGUCCAGAAAAAAACUUUUUUUAAAUUAAAAAUUGAAGUUUUUUUAAUUUGUGCAGAAACAAUUAUUUAUAUUAAAGACAAGAAGACCCUAUGAAUUUAUUAAAUUUUUAUUUAAUAUGUAAUUACUAUUAGAAAAAUUUUGGCUGGGGCGGCUAGAAAAUAUUAUAAACUUUUUAAAAAUAAAAUGAUCCAUUAUUAAUGAUUUUAUGUUAAAUACUCUAGGGAUAACAGCGUUAUAUUUUUUGAUAGAUCAUAUUGACAAAAAAGUUUGCGACCUCGAUGUUGGAUU
RNAcentral lists this ribosomal RNA (360 nucleotides) under Rhipicephalus sanguineus (brown dog tick). RNAcentral describes it as "partial large subunit ribosomal RNA". Lineage: Eukaryota; Metazoa; Arthropoda; Arachnida; Ixodida; Ixodidae. The record is from RNAcentral.